RNAcentral lists this long non-coding RNA (995 nucleotides) under Physcomitrium patens. RNAcentral's name for it is "long non-coding RNA (PPAT_LNC003197)". Lineage: Eukaryota; Viridiplantae; Streptophyta; Bryopsida; Funariales; Funariaceae. The record is from RNAcentral.
GCGCAUUAGUUAUUUGAAUGCCAAGAGCAUGAAGGAGCUUCAAUCCAUGGUAAAUGGCUUAGAUCUUUUUCAUAUAAGCCACAAUGCUAUGACACUUGCUUGUAAAGGUGGUAUUAAAGGCAAACAACAAAAGGCCUCAUUUCCAAGUGGAGUUGUAAUACGUUGUUGUAUGGCAUGAUUUGCUAUCUGGGAAUACACUAGGUAUCUAGCUGUAGAGAGUGUACCUUAAACCUUAAUAUGAUUCUUUUCUUGGCUUCCAAAACUCCUCUAUUUUUGUAUAAAACUCCAAAUAUAACAAAAUCCCUUCAAAACAUAUUUUUCUCGCGAAGGGUUUUCUUGCCUGGAACUUUAGAAAAUCAUAACUAUUGAUCUAACCGUUCAGUUUGUUUCAAAUUUACAAGAUAGGUAUAAUUUACCCUUAACUUGUAUCAAAAAAAAAAACCAACCAGAAAUUCACUUCCGAUCUUCUGGCAUCUAAGAAACCCUAGCAGGCACUCCAAACCCUAAUUUACAAGCACCCGAAAACUAUUUUCCUUAUAUCUCAAAAAUCCGAACUCCAAAUGUCAUAAAACUUAUGCACAAAGUUUACUAACAUAAAAUUACACGUUCCUUGAAAUUUUGAGCCAAAACCUCACAAAAUUGCUCAAGAUAUAGCUCAAGAGACAAACACUAGUAAAUCGGUUUACUUACUACCCUUAGAUUGCAUGUGCUGACUUCAGAAUCCAAUAACUCCUUCAUCCCAACUUGAAAUCCAGUAAACAGUAUGUGAAAAAUAUAGCCGAAAAAGUGCUCUCUUCAGUCCCGGUCGCCGAUUCUCAAUUGCUGUCUGUACGCGUGCGUUAUGCCCAAAAGAGUGACAGUAGGUCCAAAACUAACACCUUAACUUUGAGCGCCUAUAACUUCUUCAUAAAAACCCCAAAUGACAUAAAACUUGUACCAAAACCUUAACCAAAAACCUAAACCUUCUGACCCUAGCCUUCAAAGUUCGAAUGGCC